Molecule: long non-coding RNA, 874 nt
Filed under: Ursus maritimus (polar bear)
Lineage: Eukaryota; Metazoa; Chordata; Mammalia; Carnivora; Ursidae
Description: lncRNA (ENSUMAG00000012010.1)
Source: RNAcentral
CGGAAAUGAGAACUUAGUGGUGAUAUGGUGGCUAGCUGAGCACGAAACCAUAACUCCCGUGGCUCGGCCUCAAAUCUAUGUCACAGACAAUGAAAUAUAGUGCAGAAACCAAGGUUUUAUUUAAAAGUAACUCAAGUUCUUCAUUUUUCAAGGACUGUUAAAAAUACUGAAGUGCAUAGUUUACAAUACCACCCUAAAAUUUUCUUUCCCCUCUAUGGGUUGUCUGCUAGUUAUCUGCCCCAAUGUCCAUUUUUCUUCUCUUCCUUAGAAGUAGAACCUGGGAUUUUACUGGACCCCUCAAAUAAAAUAGAAACCUCUCCCAGAUACUGCCACAUGACUAAAUUCUGGGCAACGAGUUUAAGUGCAAGCGUUGAAGGCAACUCCUGAAAAAUCUCCUCAGAGUGUGUCAGCAGGCCUUGUCUCUUCCUUCCUCCUUUAUGCUGGCAACAGUACAGAUGAUCUGACUGGAACUGAAACUCCUAUUUUGCACCAGGGGAGAGCAUGCUAAAGACAAUGGAAUGAGAGAAGAGAAAGACCCUGAGUCCCUGAUGUUCAUGGAACUCCCAUGAUGGUGAUGAAUUACCUACAUUUGGACUUUUUAAAAUGAUUGAGGAAGAGGAACAAUCUUCUGUCCUAGGUGCUUUUUUGCCAAAAGUAUUUUUCCACCACCAGCAAAUACAUGGGUACAAUGACUUGUGACGACUUGAAACUGGGGCAGAUGACUCGAGGAAAUGUGAGGAAAUGUGGAGAUACAUUUCUGAUGUAUUUUGUGGACAAGAAUACCUUCUCCAGAAAAGAUCAGGAAUUUAGGAAUGGCUUGGCUGGGCAUUUCUGCCUCAGGUCUCCCAUGAGGUUGUAUUCAAGUUGUGAGUAG